UGCAGUCGAACGGUAAGGCCCUUCGGGGUACACGAGUGGCGAACGGGUGAGUAACACGUGGGUGAUCUGCCCUGCACUUCGGGAUAAGCCCGGGAAACUGGGUCUAAUACCGGAUAUUACUGCGCGGUGCAUGCCGUGUGGUGGAAAGAUUUAUCGGUGCAGGAUGGGCCCGCGGCCUAUCAGCUUGUUGGUGGGGUAAUGGCCUACCAAGGCGACGACGGGUAGCCGGCCUGAGAGGGCGACCGGCCACACUGGGACUGAGACACGGCCCAGACUCCUACGGGAGGCAGCAGUGGGGAAUAUUGCACAAUGGGCGCAAGCCUGAUGCAGCGACGCCGCGUGAGGGAUGACGGCCUUCGGGUUGUAAACCUCUUUCAGCAGGGACGAAGCGCAAGUGACGGUACCUGCAGAAGAAGCACCGGCCAACUACGUGCCAGCAGCCGCGGUAAUACGUAGGGUGCAAGCGUUGUCCGGAAUUACUGGGCGUAAAGAGCUCGUAGGCGGUUUGUCGCGUCGUCUGUGAAAACCAGCAGCUCAACUGUUGGCUUGCAGGCGAUACGGGCAGACUUGAGUAUUUCAGGGGAGACUGGAAUUCCUGGUGUAGCGGUGAAAUGCGCAGAUAUCAGGAGGAACACCGGUGGCGAAGGCGGGUCUCUGGGAAAUAACUGACGCUGAGGAGCGAAAGCGUGGGUAGCGAACAGGAUUAGAUACCCUGGUAGUCCACGCCGUAAACGGUGGGCGCUAGGUGUGGGUUUCCUUCCACGGGAUCCGUGCCGUAGCUAACGCAUUAAGCG
Molecule: ribosomal RNA, 794 nt
Filed under: Rhodococcus sp. (in: high G+C Gram-positive bacteria)
Lineage: Bacteria; Bacillati; Actinomycetota; Actinomycetes; Mycobacteriales; Nocardiaceae
Description: bacterial SSU rRNA
Rfam family: Bacterial small subunit ribosomal RNA
Source: RNAcentral